AUGCAGCCAAUCCUCCGAGCCCUAGCCCUAUGAUAACCCCUUUGGAGCUCCUCAUUCGAUUCAGCUGGUUAAGUGCUGGCUGGAGGAUGUUGAAGAGGACCCAAGCGAUCGCUGGGAUUAUGGGAAGCAAUAGAGCUAGCCCACGGUUGUCUCCUUCAGCUAUUUCAGCAAUCUGUUGUGCAGCUAAGGCGGGGUCACAUGAACUUAAGGUUGAGAAGAUAGCUCCAGCAAUGGCGCUGCCAGCGAGUGAAGAAGGUAGGUUUGAGUUGUUGGCUGGUUUUGAGAUGGUGAGGCCUUUGGGGAGGUUCUGCAUGGAGAGAAGGGAGAAGGGCUUUGGGGUUGGCUUUGUUGGGCUGCUCAUCUUAGUUGAGCUGAUGCUUAGGCAUUUUUGCAUUGAGCAUCGCCAUUGUUGCUACACUUGCUGCCAUUUUUUUAUGUUUUUGGGUUUAGAAUUGUGCU
RNAcentral lists this long non-coding RNA (459 nucleotides) under Gossypium barbadense (sea-island cotton). RNAcentral describes it as "long non-coding RNA (GBAR_LNC000760)". The record is from RNAcentral. Lineage: Eukaryota; Viridiplantae; Streptophyta; Magnoliopsida; Malvales; Malvaceae.